UCGCCUGCUCGGAGCACGCCAGAGCGAGCGGACGUCCCAGCCAUGCUCGAGGCGGUGGGCUCCCUGGCAGCCGCCCUCUGGGCCGCCGUCCACGUCCGGACCCUCCUGCUGGGCACCGUCGCCUUUCUGUUCUUUGCUGACUUUUUCAAAAGGCGGCGACCAAAAAACUACCCGCCGGGGCCCUGGCGCCUGCCCUUCCUUGGCAACAUCUUGCAUUUGGACUUCGAGCAGUCGCACCUGACAAUUCAGCGGUAUGUGAAGAAAUACGGGAACGUUUUUAGCAUGGAUAUGGGUGACAUGUCUUCAGUUCUUAUUACUGGGUUGCCCUUAAUCAAAGAAGUCCUUAUUCACAUGGACCAAAAUUUUAUGAACCGCCCAAUGACCCUCCUCCGAGACCGUGUCUUUAAGAAUAAUGGAUUGAUCAUGUCGAAUGGCCAGAUAUGGAAGGAGCAAAGAAGAUUCACCCUGACAGCACUAAGAAACUUUGGUUUAGGAAAGAAGAGCUUAGAGGAACGCAUUCAGGAAGAGGCCCAUCACCUCACUGAGGCAAUUAAAGAGGAGAACGGACAGUCUUUUAACCCUCACUUCAAGAUCAACAAUGCAGUUUCCAAUAUCAUUUGCUCCAUCACCUUUGGGGAGCGCUUUGAGUACCAGGAUGGUCAGUUUCAGGAGCUGCUAAAGUUAUUGGAUGAAGUCACAUGUAUGGAGGCUUCAAUGAGGUGCCAGCUCUACAAUAUCUUUCCACGGAUAAUGAAAUUCCUGCCCGGACCCCACCAAACUCUCAUCAGCAAGUGGGAAAGAUUGAAAUUGUUUGUUUCUCAUGUGAUUGAAAAACACAGGAGAGAUUGGAAUCCUGCAGAAACAAGAGACUUUAUUGAUGCUUACCUCAAGGAAAUGACAAAGCACACGGGCAAUGCUGCUACGAGUUUCCAUGAAGAAAACCUCAUUUGCACCACCUUGGACCUGUUCUUUGCUGGAACUGAGACAACUUCCACCACGCUGCGCUGGGGUCUGCUUUACAUGGCCCUCUACCCAGAAAUCCAAGAAAAAGUCCACGAUGAGAUUGACAGAGUGAUUGGCCGGUGGCAGCAGCCAAGCACAGCCGCCCGGGAGUCCAUGCCCUACACCAACGCCGUCAUCCAUGAGGUGCAGAGAAUGGGCAACAUCAUCCCCCUGAACGUUCCCAGGGAAGUGGCAACUGACACCACUUUGGCUGGAUACCACCUGCCCAAAAGCAUCCCAUCAGACUAGGGACCUGCUAGACUUUGGCAAAUUCUGCUUCAUAAUCCUGGGUUUAUAGAAUAUUAAAAUAUGAAAGGACGUUUGAGACAGGACAUUUGAGACCACCUGGGCCAACGUUACAUUAAUGAUGUGUUUUUAGCAUAACAGCCCCACAGGGGACCAUGGUCCUGACCAAUUUGACUGCACUGCACAAAGACCCUGCAGAGUGGGCCACUCCUGACACCUUCAAUCCAGAGCAUUUUCUGGAGAACGGACAAUUUAAGAAAAGGGAAGCCUUUCUGCCUUUCUCAAUAGGAAAGCGGGCAUGCCUCGGAGAACAGCUGGCUAAGUCGGAGCUGUUUAUUUUCUUCACGUCCCUCAUGCAAAACUUUACCUUCAAGCCCCCAAGCCAUGAGAAGUUGAGCCUGAAGUUCAGAAUGGGCCUCACCGUUUCCCCAGUCAGCCACAGCCUCUGUGCUGUUCCUCGGGCGUGAUGUCGUCAGGGAAGGAAAGGGGAAAGCAAAGUAAGAAGACAUGGCAUGUGUUCUAAAGCCCCUGUGUUGCCUGCUCAGACGUGGGGCGGGGGGGGCAAAAUGAAAGUGUCUCUGAAGAAAGAUCAGAGGAAUUGGACUCACAGGAAACUAGAUCCCAAUCUCAGCUCUGCCAUCUCCUCCAAAUUUGCCUUGGGAAAAUCACUUGUGUUCUAAACGAUUUACCUUUUCAUCCAGGAGAUGAAAAGAGGAUAACGAUUCCUUCCCUAAAGAAAGUUCUUGUAAGGAUCAAAGGAAAUAGUAGACUUUAAGUGGUCUGUAAACCAUAAAGCACAUCAUAAA
RNA transcript from Carlito syrichta (Philippine tarsier), 2054 nucleotides. It is a transcript of the gene named cytochrome P450 2J2, with no coding region annotated. The record is from RefSeq and is a predicted model, not a curated record. The transcript has 10 exons. NCBI's taxonomy places the organism in Eukaryota, Metazoa, Chordata, Mammalia, Primates, Tarsiidae.